Brachypodium distachyon (stiff brome) is the source of this 677-nucleotide long non-coding RNA. RefSeq lists it as uncharacterized. The transcript has 3 exons. The record is from RefSeq and is a predicted model, not a curated record. Lineage: Eukaryota; Viridiplantae; Streptophyta; Magnoliopsida; Poales; Poaceae.
CAAACUUCUCAAUUUCAGAAAGAUCUCGGCAGAGAUACAGAGGAAACGCAAAGCCGCCAAACUUCGAAGGGGUGGAGCAGGAGGCGAAGCAAAUGGCGGAGACCCCGAGCAAGGUCGAAUCGAUGAGGAAGUGGGUCGUCGACCACAAGCUCCGAGCCGUAGGUUGUCUAUGGCUAGCUGGGAUCACUAGCUCGGUCGCGUACAACUGGUCGCGGCCCACUAUGAAGACCAGCGUCAAGCUCAUCCACGCAAGGUUGCAUGCUCAGGCUCUAACGCUGGCUGCCUUAGUUGGUUCUGGAUUAGUAGAGUACUAUGAUCGAGAGUAUGGCUCUUCUGGACCAAAGGUGGACAGAUACACUAGGCAAUACAUGUCACACUCGCAUAAAGAUUAAGCUCUUCAUGCUCGAAGCUGGAUACUGGAUUAGUUUUAGGUUCUUCUUUGGGUGCCAUUAACUGGUCCCCGUGAUGGUUCCUAGAGUCUCUGGUACUGCGAAACGAAAUUAUAUACUUGCCAGGAAUUUCCUGAGCAAUGAGGUCGUAAUACAGAUAUGGUCUGCAUAACUUGAACCUCAGAUUGCACCCUGUAACAAAGUUUGUUGGCAAUCUUGGUACUAUUGGUACUUCUUUUCUCUGGUUAUAAAAAAGAGGGAGUUCCUCUGCUGCACUGAAUUAUCUGA